This 723-nucleotide long non-coding RNA is filed under the name Taeniopygia guttata (zebra finch). RNAcentral's name for it is "lncRNA (ENSTGUG00000023696.1)". Lineage: Eukaryota; Metazoa; Chordata; Aves; Passeriformes; Estrildidae. The record is from RNAcentral.
GUGGGGAAUGAGGCUCAGGGGCUGGCAGAAUGAACUCUUCUCAAGAAGGAGCCACUCAAGCUCAUUUUCAAACCUGUCAGAAACCACCCCCCAAUUAUUUCAGUGCAAGUCAAAAUAAUCUGUAGAGAUCUGUACAGAUGGUUCAUUCUACUGUCACUAGGGUGGUUUGUGACAUGCCCUGCUCACCUGACCUAUUGGUGAACAGUGCCUUCUUUCAGGUUAGGACAACUGAACAGGUUUUGGCUCUGCAGCCUCUUCCACGGAGGAAGAAAAGACAUCUCACUCUCCCAUGCUCUCUAUGAACCAGAUGAAAGCUUUUUCAAGUUGGAUCAUGAUCCUUAUGGGGCUGUAGGGGGAUUCAGAGGGAAUUGCAAAGUGUUUGUUAGUCUCAAAAUGGCUAAUUAGUUUUAAUCAUUGGCAGCAACUCAGAAAUUACAGCUGGUUCUCAUGCUGAUGCCCUGGAGCAGCAAAGCUGUUGCCCACAGUUAAAGAGUUAAUGUCCCCUGGAGAGGAACAGAACGCUUGUAAUUCCUCCCAAGCUAAAGCCUCGGAGGCCACUGAAGCAGUUAGGCAAUACUGCAUCAGGCUACCCUCCAACAGGCAGGCUGGCUGUCCUGGUGUCCCUGCAUCUUGGCUAAACCCCAUCCUUCUUGGAAGAAAGCAGGUGAGGCAGGGUUUAUGCCAAUAAUGUUGUUUUAACUAUGUUCUAAUUAUAUACUUGGA